UACGGAAGGCAGCAGUGGGGAAUAUUGCACAAUGGGCGAAAGCCUGAUGCAGCUAUGCCGCGUGUAUGAAGAAGGCCUUAGGGUUGUAAAGUACUUUCAUCGGGGAGGAAAAAACAAAACUAAUAAUUUUAUUUCUUGACGUUACCCGAAAAAGAAGCACCGGCUAACUCCGUGCCAGCAGCCGCGGUAAUACGGAGGGUGCUAGCGUUAAUCAGAAUUACUGGGCGUAAAGAGCACGUAGGUGGUUUUUUUAAGUCAGAUGUGAAAUCCCUGGGCUUAACCUGGAACUGCAUUUUGAAACUGAAAUACUAGAGUAUCGUAGAGGGAGGUAGAAUUCUAGGUGUAGCGGUGAAAUGCGUAGAUAUCUGGAGGAAUACCUGUGGCGAAAGCGGCCUCCUAAACGAAUACUGACACUGAGGUGCGAAAGCGUGGGGAGCAAACAGGGGUUAGAUACCCGU
Molecule: ribosomal RNA, 458 nt
Filed under: uncultured bacterium
Lineage: Bacteria
Description: bacterial SSU rRNA
Rfam family: Bacterial small subunit ribosomal RNA
Source: RNAcentral